This 508-nucleotide ribosomal RNA is filed under the name uncultured bacterium. Its description in RNAcentral is "partial 16S ribosomal RNA". It matches the Rfam family "Bacterial small subunit ribosomal RNA", at positions 28 to 523 of the family's 1533-position model. The record is from RNAcentral.
GAUGAACGCUAGCUACAGGCUUAACACAUGCAAGUCGAGGGGAAACGAUAGAGAAAGCUUGCUUUUUCUAGGCGUCGACCGGCGCACGGGUGAGUAACGCGUAUCCAACCUGCUCAUCACUUGGGGAUAACCUUGAGAAAGUAAGACUAACACCCAAUGACGUUUAUAGAAGACAUCCGAAAGGGAUAAAAGAUUUAUAGGUGAUGGAUGGGGAUGCGUCUGAUUAGCUUGUUGGCGGGGUAACGGCCCAGCAAGGCGACGAUCACUAGUGGUUCUGAGAGGAAGGUCCCCCACAUGGGAACUGAGACACGGUCCAAACUCCUACGGGAGGCAGCAGUGAGGAAUAGUGGUCAAUGGACGAGAGUCUGAACCAGCCAAGUAGCGUGCAGGAUGACGGCCCUAUGGGUUGUAAACUGCUUUUAUAAGGGAAUAAAGUGAGAGUCGUGACUCUUUUUGCAUGUACCUUAUGAAUAAGGACCGGCUAAUUCCGUGCCAGCAGCCGCGGUAA